This 433-nucleotide ribosomal RNA is filed under the name uncultured bacterium. RNAcentral describes it as "partial 16S ribosomal RNA". It matches the Rfam family "Bacterial small subunit ribosomal RNA", at positions 29 to 507 of the family's 1533-position model. The record is from RNAcentral.
AACGAACGCUGGCGGCAUGCCUAACACAUGCAAGUCGAACGAGACCUUCGGGUCUAGUGGCGCACGGGUGCGUAACGCGUGGGAAUCUGCCCUUCGGUUGGGAAUAACUGAGAGAAAUUUCAGCUAAUACCUUAUAAUGUCUUCGGACCAAAGAUUUAUCGCCGAGGGAUGAGCCCGCGUAGGAUUAGGUAGUUGGUGGGGUAAUGGCCUACCAAGCCGACGAUCCUUAGCUGGUCUGAGAGGAUGAUCAGCCACACUGGGACUGAGACACGGCCCAGACUCCUACGGGAGGCAGCAGUGGGGAAUAUUGGACAAUGGGCGAAAGCCUGAUACAGCAAUGCCGCGUGAGUGAUGAAGGCCUUAGGGUUGUAAAGCUCUUUUACCCGGGAUGAUAAUGACAGUACCGGGAGAAUAAGCUCCGGCUAACUCCGUG